This 274-nucleotide ribosomal RNA is filed under the name uncultured bacterium. Its description in RNAcentral is "partial 16S ribosomal RNA". It matches the Rfam family "Bacterial small subunit ribosomal RNA", at positions 523 to 796 of the family's 1533-position model. The record is from RNAcentral.
AUACGAAGGGUGCGAGCGUUAAUCGGAAUUACUGGGCGUAAAGCGCGCGUCGGCGGUUGGAUAAGUCGGAUGUGAAAGCCCCGGGCUCAACCUGGGAAUUGCAUUCGAAACUGUCCGGCUAGAGUAUGGUAGAGGGAAGCGGAAUUCCACAUGUAGCGGUGAAAUGCGUAGAUAUGUGGAGGAACACCAGUGGCGAAGGCGGCUUCCUGGACCAAUACUGACGCUGAGGUGCGAAAGCGUGGGGAGCAAACAGGAUUAGAAACCCUAGUAGUCC